RNAcentral lists this ribosomal RNA (447 nucleotides) under uncultured bacterium. Its description in RNAcentral is "partial 16S ribosomal RNA". It matches the Rfam family "Bacterial small subunit ribosomal RNA", at positions 29 to 523 of the family's 1533-position model. The record is from RNAcentral.
AACGAACGCUGGCGGCAGGCCUAAAACAUGCAAGUCGAACGCCCCGCAAGGGGAGUGGCGCACGGGUGAGUAACGCGUGGGAACGUGCCCUUCACUACGGGACAACGUCGGGAAACUGACGCUAAUACCGUAUAAUGACUCCGGUCCAAAGAUUUAUCGGUGAAGGAGCGGCCCGCGUCUGAUUAGCUAGUUGGUGAGGUAAAGGCUUACCAAGGCGACGAUCAGUAGCAGGUCUGAGAGGAUGAUCUGCCACACUGGGACUGAGACACGGCCCAGACUCCUACGGGAGGCAGCAGUUAGGAAUAUUGGACAAUGGGCGAAAGCCUGAUCCAGCCAUGCCGCGUGUGUGAUGAAGGCCCUAGGGUUGUAAAGCACUUUCGUUGGGGAUGAUAAUGACCGUACCCAAAGAAGAAGCACCGGCUAACUUCGUGCCAGCCGCCGCGGUAA